RNAcentral lists this long non-coding RNA (2884 nucleotides) under Helianthus annuus (common sunflower). RNAcentral's name for it is "hypothetical non coding rna". Lineage: Eukaryota; Viridiplantae; Streptophyta; Magnoliopsida; Asterales; Asteraceae. The record is from RNAcentral.
UUCCCUCUAAUUCCCUCGUACGUUUCACCACCGCUACUUUGCAAAACCCUAGAAAACUCUUCAGACCUUGAAUCCUAAUCCUAAUCUACUCUUCUUGGAUCGUCGCCACCCAAAAGUUGCCUGUAAAGAUUGUAUUCAUGAGCCACCCCUCUUUUGUUUUACGCAUAAAUCCUCCAUUCUAUGUUUUGAUCUGAAGCUAACUCAAUCCACAAUCAAGGUUUCAAAGAAGAAAUUUAUGGUUUCCAUUUCCCCAUCGAAUUCAUCGUUUCAAAUCUCUAAACCUCUGAUUCGUUGAACCCUAAAUAGUUCCUUCAUUCGCCAAACCCCAAAUCCUUCAUUCGCGAAACCCUAAAUCGUUUCGAUUUCCCUAUCGCUGUGUCUCCUCUUCCUUUACCAGUGAACCCUAAAUCCAUCUCCCCAAACCCUCUCAUCUUCCCCAGCAAUAUUCUGUCAGUAGAUCUAAAUCUGAACAAAUAUUGUAACGACUUGAGGGUUGCCAUGCUAGCGGCUAUGGUUCAUAUUCGAUAGCAAUCGUUGAUUUGGGUGAUCUACGAUCUACUUGAAAAAUCAUCUGGUCAUUUGGAACUCAGAGAGGACCUAGAGCAGGGGAUAGUUGUAGCUGGGCUAAGAUGUAUCAAGAUCAACUCAGCUGAUAAGAUUCUUGAGCUUUUCAAUGUUGGGAACAGUAGGCGCAAAAUUGACAACACAGAUGCGAACGAGACAUCAUCACGGUCUCGUGAACUUUUGGAAAUAACUGUGCUUAGAAAACAGAAAAGGAAAUACCAUAGUCAAGUUAUUUGUGGUAAACUCGCACUUGUGGAUCUUGCUGGGAGGAUUGUUUUCGAAGCCCUAGAUAUGGCAUACAUCUUCCUUCUCAAUGAAGCCUCUUAAAUCUAAACAUUCAAGCAUCAGGUACAAACAUCUCAUAAGAAAAUCCGUUGCAGUUUGAAGGUCUAUUGUAAACUUCACAAACAUCUCAUACGAAGAUUUGUCAGGCGAAAGCUGGGGCUGGUUCUGCAACAUUAUCAAUGACGUAUGCAGCAGUUAAGUUUGCAGAUCGCUGUCUCAAGGGCUUAAAAGGAGAUGCUGACAUUAUGGAGUGUGCUUUUAUAGAAUCUCGGGUUUGGUUUGGAAGAAGUUAAAAAAGAGUUGGCAGGAAGCAUUGAGAAAGGAGUUUGUACCUUAAAUAGAUGUAUCAGAAUACCUAUUUAUACAUGUGCAGGAACUAGAUGGAACCAAAAAUGAGCGGGGUUGGUGCAAGCAAAAGCUUGGCGCAAAUGCCAUUCUGGCGGUGUCUCUUACAGCUGCAAAGCGGGAGCGAGUGUCAAAAACAUUCCUCUUUACAAGACAUAUGAACUGUUGAAAAAAGGUCAGAAGACGCUUUAGAUAUAUUAUAUUGGGUUUUUUAAAAAGCUGAAAACUUGAGGAGAAAAUGGAAGUUGUAAAUGAACAAGAUUCUCAUCAUCCACUCCAUCCUGUUCGUGCUUCAACUCCUUAACAUAUAAACAGAUACACGGAGUUCACCAGCGGGAUUUGAUAAUGAAGUUUUAAAUGUUGAAUUUGAGAAAAUGGCUAAAGCUUUUGUGGUUGGAGUUUCCACAUAUUCACAAUCUUUGCCUCUUACGAGAAUGGGCAUGUUUAUGUAGGGAGCUUUUCGAACACGCUUUCUAUCUUUGAUAAUGGAAUUUUCUUCAAAAUGAACUCGACUUGAAUAGAUGAUGCUUAGGGACCGUGGUUGGUCAUGCAAGGCGUGAGGAAAAAAGCUUGUUUGUUUGGCAUUGAUAUAGGCUGAUCAACAGUUCGGUUAUAGAAAUGGCUUUUUUGACACAUGUGCAUAUGACAUCCAUCACUUUCAAAGCAUGACUUACAACCAGUUCUGCAUAAGAGCAUAGUACCAAAUCUUACUGGCCAGUCGGAGCGGAAAGUAGCUACACAAGUAGCCCAGUCAAGUACUCUUGAACCGCCUUCAUUUGGGCCAGUCGGUUCUGUGCUGGUUAUUGAACCGACGAACCGGAUUGAUGCAUUGCUGUGGCGUACGAACGACCACACCCAUGAAAGGAAGUCCCGGAUCUGGUGGUGACGCGACUAGGGUUCCGUCGUUGGAGCUGUGACUGUGGCGUACGAACGGGUAUUCAGGUCAACGGUGGUGGUUGUGGCAGCAAGAACAAAACAUAUUGUAUUGGACUUUGCUUCUGUUGCGGGUAAAAAAUGCACUUACGACGCCCUAUGAUUGAACCAGAAAGUUUGUUGGAGGGUAUUGACAACCUAUCAAAGUCAAAGACAAAGCACACAUGAAUCGGUUGAAAAGAAGGUGAAAGUCGGUUACAAGUGGGAUUGAAAGUUUUGUGUAUAUAUAUAUAUAUCUAUUAUAUAUAUGCACCCUGCGUAAAAGCCUUGAUGGGGGGAACUCGAAGUAAUUCUGAAUAUUCUUAUUUUUGUGAUCAAUAAUGCUAUACAUCAUUGCCGGUAUUUGUGGGUUUACUAUUGUGAUUGAAAAUACCAGUUUUUAACUGUCUCCAGUUGGAAACAUACCAUAUUGAUAGGCAGGCUCCUGAAGACCCAAUACCCGACUCGACGCCUGACCCACGACCCGACCCGACCGGAGUCACAUGGGAAGCACAUGGUUCAAUUGGAUUUAGUCAAUUUCUGUCAACAUUUGAUCACAAGCAGUACCCACGUUUUCUACAUAUCAAUCAAGAGUUAUUUUAUUUCCAUGUCAAUUUUAAUCUCUUUCUUAUUUUCGUUUAUUUUGAAUUAGUCUAGAACAGUUAUUUAUGUUUCCCUAAAUGUAGCUACGUGGGUGGUUGUAUCCCCUUUCUUCCAUAUGUAUUGAACAAUUCAUGAAUGAGAAGGGCAGUGAGUUUUAGAAUGAAAAUCUUUGUGU